CGGGACGGGUGAGUAAUGUCUGGGAAACUGCCUGAUGGAGGGGGAUAACUACUGGAAACGGUAGCUAAUACCGCAUAACGUCGCAAGACCAAAGAGGGGGACCGUUAGGGCCUCUUGCCAUCGGAUGUGCCCAGAUGGGAUUAGCUAGUAGGUGGGGUAACGGCUCACCUAGGCGACGAUCCCUAGCUGGUCUGAGAGGAUGACCAGCCACACUGGAACUGAGACACGGUCCAG
This 234-nucleotide ribosomal RNA is filed under the name uncultured bacterium. RNAcentral's name for it is "partial 16S ribosomal RNA". It matches the Rfam family "Bacterial small subunit ribosomal RNA", at positions 100 to 334 of the family's 1533-position model. The record is from RNAcentral.